AGGGUUUGAUCAUGGCUCAGAACGUACGCUGGCGGCACGCCUAAUACAUGCAAGUCGAACGAAGUAGCAAUACUUAGUGGCAGACGGGUGAGUAACAUGUAGGUAUCUUCCCUUUGGUGAGGAAUAACACGAGGAAACUUGUGCUAAUACCUCAUAAGUCUUUACGGAGAAAGCUUUAUGCGCCAAUGGAUGAGCCUGCACUUGAUUAGUUUGUUGGUAGGGUAAUGGCCUACCAAGACAAUGAUCAAUAGCUGAUUUGAGAGGAUGAUCAGCCACAUUGGGACUGAGACACGGCCCAAACUCCUACGGGAGGCAGCAGUAGGGAAUCUUGCACAAUGGGGGAAACCCUGAUGCAGCGAUGCCGCGUGAGUGAAGAAGGCCUUUGGGUUGUAAAGCUCUUUCGUCGGGGAAGAAAAUGACUGUACCCGAAUAAGAAGGUCCGGCUAACUUCGUGCCAGCAGCCGCGGUAAUACGAAGGGACCUAGCGUAGUUCGGAAUUACUGGGCUUAAAGAGUUCGUAGGUUGUUAAAAAAGUUGGUGGUGAAAUCCCAGAGCUUAACUCUGGAACUGCCAUCAAAACUUUUUAGCUAGAGUAUGAUAGAGGAAAGCAGAAUUUCUAGUGUAGAGGUGAAAUUCGUAGAUAUUAGAAAGAAUACCAAUUGCGAAGGCAGCUUUCUGGAUCAUUACUGACACUGAGGAACGAAAGCAUGGGUAGCGAAGAGGAUUAGAUACCCUCGUAGUCCAUGCCGUAAACGAUGUGUGUUAGACGUUGGAAAUUUAUUUUCAGUGUCGCAGCGAAAGCAAUAAACACACCGCCUGGGGAGUACGACCGCAAGGUUAAAACUCAAAUGAAUUGACGGGGACCCGCACAAGUAGUGGAGCAUGUGGUUUAAUUCGAAGAUACGCGCAGAACCUUACCAACACUUGACAUGUUCGUCGCGACUUUAAGAGAUUAAAGUUUUCGGUUCGGCCGGACGAAACACAGGUGCUGCAUGGCUGUCGUCAGCUCGUGUCGUGAGAUGUUGGGUUAAGUCCCGCAACGAGCGCAACCCUCACUUUUAGUUGCCAUCAUUUAGUUGGGCACUCUGAAAGAACUGCCAGUGAUAAGCUGGAGGAAGGUGGGGAUGACGUCAAGUCCUCAUGGCCCUUACGUGUUGGGCUACACACGUGCUACAAUGGCAUUUACAAUAGGAAGCAAAACGGCGACGUUAAGCAAAUCCUAAAAAAAUGCCUCAGUUCGGAUUGUACUCUGCAACUCGAGUACAUGAAGCUGGAAUUACUAGUAAUCGCGGAUCAGCGCGCCGCGGUGAAUACGUUCCCGGGUCUUGUACACACCGCCCGUCACACCAUGGGAGUUGGUUCUACCUUAAGGCAAAGGUUAAAAACUUUGACCACGGUAUAGUCAGCGACUGGGGUGAAGUCGUAACAAGGUAGCCGUA
This 1439-nucleotide ribosomal RNA is filed under the name uncultured bacterium. Its description in RNAcentral is "bacterial SSU rRNA". It matches the Rfam family "Bacterial small subunit ribosomal RNA". The record is from RNAcentral.